Molecule: ribosomal RNA, 404 nt
Filed under: uncultured bacterium
Lineage: Bacteria
Description: bacterial SSU rRNA
Rfam family: Bacterial small subunit ribosomal RNA
Source: RNAcentral
CCAGACUCCUACGGGAGGCAGCAGUGAGGAAUAUUGGUCAAUGGCCGGAAGGCUGAACCAGCCAAGCCGCGUGAAGGACGAAGGUGCCAAGCAUUGUAAACUUCUUUUGUCAAGGGACAAAAUCAGGCUCGAGAGCCUGACCGAGGGUACUUGAAGAAAAAGCAUCGGCUAACUCCGUGCCAGCAGCCGCGGUAAUACGGAGGAUGCGAGCGUUAUCCGGAUUUAUUGGGUUUAAAGGGUGCGUAGGCGGAAUUGUAAGGCGGGUGGUAAAGGCCGGGGGCCAACCCCGGGAGUGCUGUUGAAACGGUGUGUCUGGAGAUGUCGAGAGGUAUGCGGAAUGCGCGGUGUAGCGGUGAAAUGCGUAGAUAUUGGGAGGAACACCGGCGGCGAAGGCGGCAUGCCGG